This 211-nucleotide long non-coding RNA is filed under the name Ricinus communis (castor bean). RNAcentral's name for it is "long non-coding RNA (RCOM_LNC000706)". The record is from RNAcentral. Lineage: Eukaryota; Viridiplantae; Streptophyta; Magnoliopsida; Malpighiales; Euphorbiaceae.
UGACAUUGUCUCCUCUCUUUUUUGCUACCAUCAUAGGGAUAAACUUCACAGGCAUCCUUGUGCCAUUCGAUGAUGCGAUUCAUGACCAAUGCUUUGAUGUCUGGGAGUGCUAUAUUAUGGAUUUACUUGGGUUCUUGCCAACAUGCAAGAACACUCACUGCAUUACUUACCAGAGCAUUCCUCUCCAUUAUAGAGUCUUUGUGCCUCGAAA